Molecule: long non-coding RNA, 484 nt
Organism: Chenopodium quinoa (quinoa)
Lineage: Eukaryota; Viridiplantae; Streptophyta; Magnoliopsida; Caryophyllales; Amaranthaceae
Exons: 2
Source: RefSeq, a predicted model, not a curated record
CUCUCUCCUCCUUCUCUUUCUCUCUCCUCUUUCUAUCUUUCUUCUAUGUUCGCCUUCUUUCUCCUUCUUGGCCAUCAGUUUCCUUCAAUCUCAUCUCCUUCUCUCUCUCUUUCUCUUUCUCUUUCGUUCUUCCCAGAUUAUCCUCCCCUUCUCACUCGUUUCCACCACCAAAUGCCACCACCGAAGAGGCGAAGACCAACACCCAAGACCACCAAGAACACCGAUUCUAGGUAUGUUAUUUAGAUCUGAAAUCGAAGAAGCAAGAUACAAGAAUGAAUGGGGUUUUUGUUUUUGUUUUUUUUAUUUAUAUUGUAAUUUUUUUUUGUAUUUAUAUGUUGUAAUCGAAGUAUUUAUAUGUUGUAAUUUUUUUUUAUUAUGUAUUGCAAAUUUUCGAUGAUAUUGAUGUUGCAAAUUUUCGAUGAUAUUGAUGUUGCAAAUUUUCGAUGAUAUUGAUGUUGUUUUAAUCGAUAUUCGCUUUAUGUUA